AAGGUCCUGACAGUAGCAAUGUACCAAAAACAUGGAUAUAAAAUUAUACAUUUUUUCAUAAUUUAAUAUUAAGUCACACUAGCCAAAAAAUUCUUAGAAUAAAGUUGGGGUUUUUCCUUCAGCCGUUGUGGUUGCACUGUACCUUUAGGUUAUCUAGAUCUACAACGGCUGAAGGAAAAACCACGGAUUAAUUUCUCAGAAUAUUCGGCUGCUUAGUAUUAACAUUAAAAAUAUUUAUGUGUAAUAUUAAUUACCCUAUUUUUUUUCAUUACAACUGUAAGGACCUCCCUCUCCAACCCUAACCCUACCCCUAGACUUUCUAUUGGAUUAAUACACGUUUUCAAGACCAGAACAUGUGUGGUCAUGUAGCUCUACGGGUUACGCCUGUGAUGUUCAGGACUCAUUCUUGUAUUUUACACUCUCUGAUGUUUUCUUUUCUUCAUGUCUAGUGUGUGAAUCAUUUCUGGUUUGUCUCUUCAGUGUCUCAUGUGGCCCUGCAGCUUCUCCUCCUCCACCUCCUCCUGAAGCCUUCAUCUUCUUCAUCAUCAGCUGCUCAGUGACUCUGUUGGACGUCUCACCGUGUGGCAGCAGCUCAGGAGUUUGCAGUCAACCAUGGCCGACUCAGAAUCACUCCCACCGGGAAGAUCUGUGAAGGAAGGUCCACCCGGCUGGUCCAGAAGCUCCGGUCCAGCAGAGCAGCGUCAGGAUGGAGACGUAACCGGUGUUGAUGUCACCGCCUUGACGAAUAGAAGAAAAGCCUGUAUUUGGGUAUGUAGGACUGGUAGUCCAGAGGUAGUGCUGGUGGUUUGGAACCUGAAGAGUGCAGGUUCGAUCCCCCACCCUGCUCAAGCUUUUUUUUUUACAUUUGGGCAAAAGUUGCCAAAAAUCUGGGGCGCCCGUAUAGCUCAACGCGUUGAGCGGGCGACCCAUGUACAGGGGCUGGUCCCCGACGCAGCUGGCCCGGGUUCGAUUCCCGCUCGCGGCCCUUUGCUGCACGUCUUCCCCCGACUCUUCUCCCGUUUCCUGUCUCUCUCACACUGCACCUAUCCAAUAAAAGCCGA
Molecule: long non-coding RNA, 1061 nt
Organism: Amphiprion ocellaris (clown anemonefish)
Lineage: Eukaryota; Metazoa; Chordata; Actinopteri; Pomacentridae
Exons: 3
Source: RefSeq, a predicted model, not a curated record